RNAcentral lists this ribosomal RNA (429 nucleotides) under Chloroflexota bacterium. RNAcentral's name for it is "Chloroflexi bacterium partial 16S ribosomal RNA". It matches the Rfam family "Bacterial small subunit ribosomal RNA", at positions 355 to 776 of the family's 1533-position model. The record is from RNAcentral. Lineage: Bacteria; Bacillati; Chloroflexota.
UGGGGAAUAUUGCACAAUGGGCGCAAGCCCGAUGCAGCCAUGCCGCGUGUAUGAAGAAGGCCUUCGGGUUGUAAAGUACUUUCAGCGGGGAGGAAGGGAGUAAAGUUAAUACCUUUGCUCAUUGACGUUACCCGCAGAAGAAGCACCGGCUAACUCCGUGCCAGCAGCCGCGGUAAUACGGAGGGUGCAAGCGUUAAUCGGAAUUACUGGGCGUAAAGCGCACGCAGGCGGUUUGUUAAGUCAGAUGUGAAAUCCCCGGGCUCAACCUGGGAACUGCAUCUGAUACUGGCAAGCUUGAGUCUCGUAGAGGGGGGUAGAAUUCCAGGUGUAGCGGUGAAAUGCGUAGAGAUCUGGAGGAAUACCGGUGGCGAAGGCGGCCCCCUGGACGAAGACUGACGCUCAGGUGCGAAAGCGUGGGGAGCAAACAGG